AUUGAACGCUGGCGGCAGGCCUAACACAUGCAAGUCGAGCGGAUGAAGGGAGCUUGCUCCUGGAUUCAGCGGCGGACGGGUGAGUAAUGCCUAGGAAUCUGCCUGGUAGUGGGGGAUAACGUCCGGAAACGGGCGCUAAUACCGCAUACGUCCUGAGGGAGAAAGUGGGGGAUCUUCGGACCUCACGCUAUCAGAUGAGCCUAGGUCGGAUUAGCUAGUUGGUGGGGUAAAGGCCUACCAAGGCGACGAUCCGUAACUGGUCUGAGAGGAUGAUCAGUCACACUGGAACUGAGACACGGUCCAGACUCCUACGGGAGGCAGCAGUGGGGAAUAUCGGACAAAGGGCGAAAGCCUGAUCCAGCCAUGCCGCGUGCGUGAAGAAGGUCUUCGGAUUGUAAAGCACUUUAAGUUGGGAGGAAGGGCAGUAAGUUAAUACCUUGCUGUUUUGACGUUACCAACAGAAUAAGCACCGGCUAACUUCGUG
RNAcentral lists this ribosomal RNA (484 nucleotides) under uncultured bacterium. RNAcentral's name for it is "partial 16S ribosomal RNA". It matches the Rfam family "Bacterial small subunit ribosomal RNA", at positions 30 to 507 of the family's 1533-position model. The record is from RNAcentral.